AGAGCUUAGUGCACAGCAGGAUCUCUCUUUAUUCAAAACUUAUAAAAUAAAAAUAUAUUGGUUGCAGAUGCUAUAAUUUUGAAAGCAAUAGAGUACUUGAGUACUUGAAUACUUUUUUGAUUAAACUAUUUACAAGGUGAAUUGUGCUGCAGAAAUUCAAGGACAAAGGGACUAGAAAUCAACAGGACUCUAAAAACCCAAACUAAAUAGGUAUUGCAUGAGUUUCUAAGUUGGCAAUAGUUCUGGCAGUAACAGGAAGGGCAGAUAUCCUGCAAUGGGAAAGCAGUAAUUGUUCUAUCAACACUUCACUGUAUUUAUCUACUUUUUUGCAUCAUAAAGAAAUGUGUUUUUUAAUCUGUAUACAUUUACAUUUUCUUUCCGGUUCUUGUUUUAAGAAUGAUAAAAGAACAUUUGCAAAAUGAUAUGUAUUCUUG
Non-coding RNA from Pelobates cultripes (western spadefoot toad), 434 nucleotides. The record is from the annotation of a GenBank genome assembly. NCBI's taxonomy places the organism in Eukaryota, Metazoa, Chordata, Amphibia, Anura, Pelobatidae.